GCACACGAACCUGGGCGGCCCAGCGAGUACAGGGAAGAGGGCGGGGCUAGACGCGGCCUUGAUAACUACAGUACUAGAGCGCCUCGGGCUGUACGGCUCGAGACUACAUUUCCCAGCGGGCCCGGCGGAGACCGGGCCGGAAAGAGAGCGCCUCCGGUCCAGUGCGCAGGUGCAGGAGCCUUACCUGGUUAUAUAAAGGCGGU
Molecule: long non-coding RNA, 203 nt
Filed under: Saimiri boliviensis boliviensis (Bolivian squirrel monkey)
Lineage: Eukaryota; Metazoa; Chordata; Mammalia; Primates; Cebidae
Description: ZNFX1 antisense RNA 1 conserved region 1 (ENSSBOG00000036396.1)
Rfam family: ZNFX1 antisense RNA 1 conserved region 1
Source: RNAcentral